UGCCUACGGGGCGCAGCAGUGGGGAAUAUUGGGCAAUGGGCGCAAGCCUGACCCAGCAACGCCGCGUGAAGGAGGAAGGCUUUCGGGUUGUAAACUUCUUUUAUGAGGGACGAAACAAAUGACGGUACCUCAUGAAUAAGCCACGGCUAACUACGUGACAGCAGCCGCGGCAAUACGCAGGUGGCAAGCGUUAUACGGAUUUACUGGGUGUAAUGGGCGUGUAGUCGGGACUGCAAGUCAGAUGUGAAA
This 249-nucleotide ribosomal RNA is filed under the name uncultured bacterium. RNAcentral's name for it is "partial 16S ribosomal RNA". It matches the Rfam family "Bacterial small subunit ribosomal RNA", at positions 335 to 599 of the family's 1533-position model. The record is from RNAcentral.